RNAcentral lists this ribosomal RNA (489 nucleotides) under uncultured bacterium. Its description in RNAcentral is "partial 16S ribosomal RNA". It matches the Rfam family "Bacterial small subunit ribosomal RNA", at positions 30 to 507 of the family's 1533-position model. The record is from RNAcentral.
UUGCACGCUGGCGGCAGGCCUAACACCUGCAAGUCGAACGGUAACAGGAAGAAGCUUGCUUCUUUGCUGACGAGUGGCGGACGGGUGAGUAAUGUCUGGGAAACUGCCUGAUGGAGGGGGAUAACUACUGGAAACGGUAGCUAAUACCGCAUAACGUCGCAAGACCAAAAAGGGGGACCUUCGGGCCUCUUGCCAUCGGAUGUGCCCAGAUGGGAUUAGCUAGUAGGUGGGGUAACGGCUCACCUAGGCGACGAUCCCUAGCUGGUCUGAGAGGAUGACCAGCCACACUGGAACUGAGACACGGUCCAGACUCCUACGGGAGGCAGCAGUGGGGAAUAUUGCACAAUGGGCGCAAGCCUGAUGCAGCCAUGCCGCGUGUAUGAAGAAGGCCUUCGGGUUGUAAAGUACUUUCAGCGGGGAGGAAGGGAGUAAAGUUAAUACCUUUGCUCAUUGACGUUACCCGCAGAAGAAGCACCGGCUAACUCCGUG